RNAcentral lists this ribosomal RNA (447 nucleotides) under uncultured bacterium. Its description in RNAcentral is "bacterial SSU rRNA". It matches the Rfam family "Bacterial small subunit ribosomal RNA", at positions 355 to 825 of the family's 1533-position model. The record is from RNAcentral.
UGGGGAAUCUUGGACAAUGGGCGCAAGCCUGAUCCAGCCAUGCCGCGUGGAUGAUGAAGGCCUUAGGGUUGUAAAAUCCUUUCGUUGGGGACGAUAAUGACGGUACCCAAAGAAGAAGCUCCGGCUAACUUCGUGCCAGCAGCCGCGGUAAUACGAAGGGGGCUAGCGUUGUUCGGAUUUACUGGGCGUAAAGCGCGUGUAGGCGGACUUGUAAGUUGGGGGUGAAAUCCCGAGGCUCAACCUCGGAACUGCCUCCAAAACUACAAAUCUGGACCUAAGUAGAGGCAAGUGGAAUUGCGAGUGUAGAGGUGAAAUUCGUAGAUAUUCGCAGGAACACCAGUGGCGAAGGCGACUUGCUGGACUUAUGGUGACGCUGGGACGCGAAAGCGUGGGGAGCAAACAGGAUUAGAUACCCCCGUAGUCCCUGAGCGGGCUGGCAAGGCGCAU